RNAcentral lists this long non-coding RNA (270 nucleotides) under Capsicum annuum. RNAcentral's name for it is "long non-coding RNA (CANN_LNC017635)". Lineage: Eukaryota; Viridiplantae; Streptophyta; Magnoliopsida; Solanales; Solanaceae. The record is from RNAcentral.
GCAGGUUUGAUGUCUCAACCUACACUAGCUACGUAGUUAUGAAAUGCAAGGAUUGCUUCUAAAAAUCACACCCUUUACUGGCAGGUGAGUCCCUAUCAUUGGGUUCACUCGGUGCUGAAUCCUACUCUCAACUGAAUAGACACUGAACUGAUUUCCUAGUUCAUACUAGGCUUGACUGAACUGUUACUGAACUGGACUGGAUUAGUACUGAGUUUACUGAGUUUUCCUGGAUUUUAGAACUGACUAAAAGUACCAUUGAUAGUGACCUGA